CCUACGGGUGGCAGCAGUGGGGAAUAUUGGACAAUGGGGGGAACCCUGAUCCAGCCAUGCCGCGUGUGUGAAGAAGGCCCUCGGGUUGUAAAGCACUUUCAGUGAGGAAGAACGCCUGGUGGUUAAUACCCAUCAGGAAAGACAUCACUCACAGAAGAAGCACCGGCUAACUCCGUGCCAGCAGCCGCGGUAAUACGGAGGGUGCGAGCGUUAAUCGGAAUUACUGGGCGUAAAGCGCGCGUAGGUGGCUUGAUAAGCCGGUUGUGAAAGCCCCGGGCUCAACCUGGGAACGGCAUCCGGAACUGUCAAGCUAGAGUGCAGGAGAGGAAGGUAGAAUUCCCGAUGUAGCGGUGAAAUGCGUAGAGAUCGGGGGGAAUACCAGUGGCGAAGGCGGCCUUCUGGACUGACACUGACACUGAGGUGCGAAAGCGUGGGUAGCAAACAGGAUUAGAUACCCUGGUAGUC
Molecule: ribosomal RNA, 465 nt
Filed under: Vreelandella stevensii
Lineage: Bacteria; Pseudomonadati; Pseudomonadota; Gammaproteobacteria; Oceanospirillales; Halomonadaceae
Description: partial 16S ribosomal RNA
Rfam family: Bacterial small subunit ribosomal RNA
Source: RNAcentral